UACGGGGGGUGCGAGCGUUGUCCGGAAUCACUGGGCGUAAAGGGCGCGUAGGCGGCGGAUCAAGUCAGGCGUGAAAGCCCCGGGCUUAACCUGGGAGGUGCGUCUGGGACUGAUUUGCUAGAGUUCGGGAGAGGAGCGUGGAAUUCCCAGUGUAGAGGUGAAAUUCGUAGAUAUUGGGAAGAACACCGGUGGCGAAGGCGGCGCUCUGGACCGAGACUGACGCUGAGGCGCGAAAGCGUGGGGAGCAAACAGG
RNAcentral lists this ribosomal RNA (253 nucleotides) under uncultured bacterium. RNAcentral describes it as "partial 16S ribosomal RNA". It matches the Rfam family "Bacterial small subunit ribosomal RNA", at positions 524 to 776 of the family's 1533-position model. The record is from RNAcentral.